This 694-nucleotide ribosomal RNA is filed under the name uncultured bacterium. RNAcentral describes it as "bacterial SSU rRNA". It matches the Rfam family "Bacterial small subunit ribosomal RNA", at positions 32 to 715 of the family's 1533-position model. The record is from RNAcentral.
AACGCUAGCUACAGGCUUAACACAUGCAAGUCGCGGGGUAACGAGAGGGAAGCUUGCUUUCCUUGUCGACGACCGGCGCACGGGUGAGUAACGCGUAUCCAACCUGCCCAUUACCACGGGAUACCCCGUCGAAAGGCGGCCUAAUACCGUAUGCAGUCGUCAGAUGACAUCAGAGGACGACGAAAGGAUUGGCGGUAAUGGAUGGGGAUGCGUCUGAUUAGGUAGUUGGAGGGGUAACGGCCCACCAAGCCAUCGAUCAGUAGGGGUUCUGAGAGGAAGGUCCCCCACAUUGGAACUGAGACACGGUCCAAACUCCUACGGGAGGCAGCAGUGAGGAAUAUUGGUCAAUGGGCGCAAGCCUGAACCAGCCAAGUAGCGUGCAGGAUGACGGCCCUAUGGGUUGUAAACUGCUUUUAUACAGGAAUAAAGUUAGCCACGUGUGGUUAUUUGUAGGUACUGUAUGAAUAAGGACCGGCUAAUUCCGUGCCAGCAGCCGCGGUAAUACGGAAGGUCCAGGCGUUAUCCGGAUUUAUUGGGUUUAAAGGGAGCGUAGGCCGUCUGUUAAGCGUGUUGUGAAAUGUAGAUGCUCAACAUCUGAAUUGCAGCGCGAACUGGCAUGCUUGAGUACGCACGAGGUAGGCGGAAUUUGUGGUGUAGCGGUGAAAUGCUUAGAUAUCACGAAGAACUCCGAUUG